GAGAACCCUCACCUGCCUAUCCUUCUAAAUACUUGGAAGGUGAUAAAUUAUUAAUACGCUAGGUGGCAUACGACAAUUGGAUCAUAAUCAAUUUAUUGAUUUCUUAAAAAUAACUAAAAAAUCUAUCUAGAGAUGCAGGACUCUCAUCUUACCAUAUCUCGUAGCUCCAUUUGUUGCAUACCCAUCAACCACCAGUUAUUAUUUUCUCGUUUAUGUGUUGUUGUAUUCUUCUUUCCACUGUAUUGCCAUCAUUUUAAUGAAGAGUUUAUAUUAACUUCUCGUUAGAGUUAAACCUUUAUUUGUUUUUGCUUGUUAUGGGUUCAGUUGAAUCCUUGUUGGAGAAUAAUGCAAGAAAGUUCAUCAAGAGAAAAGAUAGCGAUGCUGAAGAAGCAGGUUUUUAUCAAAAUGAAUCUUCACCUGCCUUCAUUUUCUUGAUUUUUCUUUUGUUUUUAUAUAAAAUGUGUUUUUCCAUAUUAUGACCUAUCAAAUCAGUUUUCUUAGUUCAUAGCCUGUCCUUGAUUCUGUAUAUUCUGAUCAACAUUUCAUUUUAAAAAUUUCUGAAAUACCAAAGAGAAUAUGCAAAAUGGUGCUGUGAAUGCGUCCUUUUUAGUUAAUCUGCUAUUUAUGAUAUCCAUGGAUGCUUGUUCAUGUCUCAUUCUUUGAUUCACAUUCCCUUAAUCUCAUCUCUGUUUCUGUAGAAUAGCUUCUAUGCAUAAAUGUAAUAUUCACCUGAAGCUGGUAAUUUCAUUUCUGAUAUAGGAGAUUUAGUUUAAUUUGCCUUCCAUAUGAUGUUUUAGACAUAUUUGUUUUACCUUACCAAAAAGAAGUUGCCUUAGUCCAUGACUUGGUGUCCCUUGUUUUUGAAUUCCUUACUUUUGAUAGUCAAAAUUAUCAGGUCGAGCAUUGGAAGAGCUCAGAAGUUCUCUUUACAAUGAUUUUCGAACUUCAGAAGGAGCCAAGCGGCAACAGCAACGAUUUUGUGGGCCGGUUGUGGCUAUGACCUUCAAUUUCAUGGUGGCCGUGGGGGUUAUUAUGACAAACAAAUUAGUCAUGGGAAAAAUUGGCUUUAACUUCCCAAUCUUUCUCACAUUGAUCCAUUAUACCACUGCGUGGAUUCUGCUUGCCAUUUUUAAGACAUUGUCGCUGCUUCCAGUCUCCCCUCCCUCCAAAAGUACUCCUUUCACUUCACUCUUCUCUUUGGGAGUUGUUAUGUCUUUCGCCUCUGGCCUUGCGAAUGCCAGCCUUAAGCAUAACAGGUUACGAUUCAGACUUGAACAAUUUCUUUUGUUACCAAGAAACUUGUCAUUUCCUUACUCUUUUGUUCAUUCGCAGUAUUGGUUUCUAUCAAAUGGCAAAAAUUGCAGUCACUCCUACCAUUGUUCUUGCAGAGUUUGUUCUGUUUAGAAAAUUCAUUUCAUUUAAAAAGGUUUUGUCUCUAGUUAUUGUUUCAGUGGGCGUGGCAAUUGCAACAGUAACAGAUUUACAAUUCAACUUUUUUGGUGCUUGUAUUGCAAUUGCAUGGAUCAUUCCAAGUGCUAUAAACAAAAUUCUUUGGUCAAAUCUGCAACAACAAGCCAAUUGGACUGCUCUUGCGUUGAUGUGGAAGACUACCCCAGUAACAAUUUUGUUUUUAUUAGCAUUGAUGCCAUGGCUAGAUCCACCAGGGGCGUUAUUGUUCCAGUGGAAUUUACACAGCUCAUCUGCAAUUUUCACAUCAGCUCUUUUGGGAUUUCUCCUACAAUGGUCGGGUGCUUUGGCUCUUGGGGCAACAUCUGCAACCUCUCACGUGGUUUUAGGACAAUUUAAGACUUGUGUGAUUUUAUUGGGUGGCUAUCUACUUUUCAAUUCAGAUCCUGGGUUUGUGAGCAUCGGUGGAGUUAUCAUAGCUCUAUGUGGAAUGUCUGCUUAUACAUCACUCAACUUACAGGAGUCCCGAGAAAAUUCGAUCAACCAACUUCAGAAGCAAACCUUACCUGUAUCAAAAUCCAAAACAGAAUCUAAAGCAGCUAGUGAAGAUACCACAAACUUAGAUGUAACCAUAACCAGUAGUGCAAAUGCUGUCUAGGUAGGAAUGUUUUGUACAAUUUUUGUCUGUGGUUAGAAAGAAUAUACAGUCAUAGGAAUUUUGAUUCAACUAGUGAAGUAUAUGUGGAGAAAAAAAAAAAAAAGAUUUACAGUCUUUAAAAUUUGACAAUGAGAGCAAGAAAGAAGAUGUGGAUUUUUGAAACUGUAAAGCAUGAGACUGUACUAUUCUUUUGAUACCAAUUUGUAAGAGGUGAGAAUACUUUGAUAGAGCUUCUGUAAUAUUAUGUUUUAAGUUUGUUACUUCAUGUAAUAUAGGCAAGUUAAAUGUGACAAGACAAGAAAAAUGGAAUAAC
Molecule: unclassified non-coding RNA, 2378 nt
Filed under: Hevea brasiliensis (rubber tree)
Lineage: Eukaryota; Viridiplantae; Streptophyta; Magnoliopsida; Malpighiales; Euphorbiaceae
Source: RNAcentral